This 243-nucleotide unclassified non-coding RNA is filed under the name uncultured Capnodiales. RNAcentral describes it as "sequence contains 5.8S rRNA gene". The record is from RNAcentral. Lineage: Eukaryota; Fungi; Ascomycota; Dothideomycetes; Capnodiales.
GAACGCACAUUGCGCCCUCUGGCAUUCCGGGGGGCAUGCCCGUUCGAGCGUCAUUAACACCCAUCAAGCCUGGCUUGGUAUUGGGCGACGGGACCUCCCCGAGCCCCGAUUUCGCCGGCUGGACGAUUCCGAUCUCUCAAGCGUUUGUGUAAAAUCUCGGUUGUGAGACGUUCGCCCGGGCCGUUAAACCCUUAAUCAAUCAAGUUGACCUCGGAUCGGGUAGGAAUACCCGCUGAACUUAAG